Rattus norvegicus (Norway rat) is the source of this 2281-nucleotide long non-coding RNA. RefSeq lists it as uncharacterized. The record is from RefSeq and is a predicted model, not a curated record. NCBI's taxonomy places the organism in Eukaryota, Metazoa, Chordata, Mammalia, Rodentia, Muridae.
UUACUUGGGAAGUUUAGAUAUUUGUUUCCUGGGGUUCCUGGGGGAAUCAAGACCAUUGUUACCUGGGGGCAACAAUGAUCUUAAGAUCUUGUUAAAGGUAAGUCUUAAAGGUCAGAGUGCACUGGAACCUGAGGGAUCAAGACCCUGGGCAUCUGAGAGAUUGUAACCUAGGGGAUCAAGGACCCUGUUACCUGGGAGAUCAACAUCACUCUUACCUGGGGAAUUUUAAAGCACUCUUACUUGUGUGUGGGGGGUGGAGAUGAAGACCACUCCUAACUGGCUGAUCUGAGAACAUUGUUACCUGGGACAUCUGCACAUUGUUACAUGGGUGAUAUCAGAACAGUGUAACCCAGGGGAUCAAGCUCAUUGUUUUCUGGUGGCAUUUGAGAGCAUUGUUACCUGACAGGUCUGACGGGAUUGUAACCUGAUGGAUCCAAAUCUUGGUUGAAUGGGACAUAUGAGAACAUUGUUACCUCAGGGAUCCAGACUGCUGUAACCUGGAAAAUCAAAACAGUUGUUACUUGGGGAGCAAAGUAAUUGCUUCCUGAAGUAUCAUUGUUACUCGGGGCUCAAGACCAUUUUUUUUUUUUUUGUGGCAUCUAAGAGCAUUGAUACCCCAAUGAGCUGAGAACAUUGUAACAUAGAAAUCCAGAACAUUGUUACCUGGGGAUGAGAAUCAUUCUUGUCAGGGGUAUCUAAGAGUGUCGUUGCCUGGAAGAUCUAAGAGGAUUGUCACCUGAGGCAUUGAGGUCAUUGUUACCCGGAACAUCUGAGAGCAAUGGAAUCUAGGAGAUAAGGCCAUCUGUUUUCCUUGGGGAAUAUGAGAACAUCAACACUUGGGGAAGCUGAGAACAUUAUAACCUGAGAAGAAAAUUCCAAAGCUGAGACAUAUAAAGACCAAGAUGCAACCCCAGAAGAGUCUAGACUUUCUUGACACUGAAAAGCUAUCUCCCGUUACAACAGGAUUCUCAGUGAAAAAUCAAGCUCUGUGCAUGAGUUUAAUCAGUGCUGCGAUCUCCACGGAGGAAGAAAAAAACGAAAGUGUCGGCAGAUGCUAGCUAAGGCUGUUGAUGCAGCUCAUGUGAGGGACUCUGCUCUCGAACACCGGGAUGAGGGGGAGGCUUCGACCUGGACAUAUGCAAAGUAUAUGAUAACCACCUUGUAGUCCAAAGACUAACACCCAGGUAUGUAUGGAAAGCCUUUUGAGCUGUUGGCUGUGGAGUUGUUGAGUCUCCGAGAGACUCUCAAAGCACUCUAGGCAGUUGCUGUUCCUCUUGGUUGCCUCCCAAAACUCGAACGGACGUCCCUAUUUCUGAAGACAACAUGAAUUUUGGACAUGGGAAUCAAAGGAUCAACCUGAAUACCUCUUUCCUGAGCCUUAGUUACCGGAAGAUGCUGUCCUGGUUAACAAGGGAGGAAAGUAAUCAAUAGCCCAACCCGGCUGUGAUGCCUACGAACCCCAACAAUGACCAGUGCAAUAGAGGAGAAUUUUCAUAAUUCUCUCCCUGUGGCCCUGAAGGAUGAAUCCACUUGAUCAUAAGGCAUUUUCUUGUCUUUCCUGACUGGCCAGUCCAUGAAUAAGGACGCUGCGUCUCUCUUCAGUGUUUCAUCACUGAACGGAACAGUGACUAUCUGCUUUCUACAUGUGCCUUUAUUGGGUUGUGCCUGGACAGCUGAGAGUUUUCAGUGAGAACUUGAUUGGAUUUUUCAAAUAUAUUUCCUAUAUCUAUAGACCAUGGGAUUUUCAUAAUUCUCUCCCUGUGGCCCUGAAGGAUGAAUCCACUUGAUCAUAAGGAGAUACGAUCUAUCUAAGCUCGGGAGGAAAGUGUGCCCUGUUGCUGAGGGUAGAAUAUCGCAUCCUGCCCGCUCGGACCACGUGGAUUACCGCAUUGUUUAAGUCAGCUGUUUCCAUAUUGGCUCUUGGCACGCAUGCGUUGUUUGUUAUGGGCUUUGGAGUACUGAGAUCUUCCCCUAGCCUUGCGGUGCUGCGACUCCCUAGGUCUCUCCAUAUUUGCUCCCCAUGAGUUUAUGUUUAUGUAAAUACCUCUUAGGGCUUCUGGAUUUAUAGGCCCUUUGAGUAGCAGCAGCAGAAGCGUGUCUCCUGUGACAGUUUGGACAUAAAGCCUCUUUUGUGACCGGCGACCUGUUUCUUUUGAGCUCCUGUUUGCACGGAGCAUCCUUUCCGCCCUCUGGCUUUGUGCACAAACAUGCACUUACACGGAAAUUAGUUACUUUAAAGGAUGCAUAACUGGGUAUUUUAUUAAAGUAUCCACUUAACUAU